GAUUUCUCAGAUCGUAUUGGAAAAACCAAGAGGACAGGAUAUGAAUCUGGAGAAUAUGAGAUGGUUUGUUGUGUGUCUGUGUGUUGAUGGGAAUGAUGUAGUGACCCUAUCUAGCAGACAUGUAGUAGGGAGAUCAAGGGAUACAGGCAGGAUUCUGUUCCUCCUGUGUUCCUGAGGAAGCAGCAGGAUGCAGCCAGGGAAACUCUGCCCUGCUGCUGUUUGUUCUGGAGAGCCUCCAGCCCUCUAGCUGUCCUCAGUUCUUUGGUACUAGGGUGUUGUGGAUUCUCAAUUGGAUAUGAUACCUUUAUGACUUAGGCCCAGGGUGUGGAUGAAUUCUUGAGGCUCCCUAUAUUGAGACAUAUAACAUUACCCUCUGUGCUUGCUCUCUAGCUUGGAGAGGGUCUGGGAGUGAAGGAGACACCCCAGCAAAAGUACCAGCGCCUGCUGCAUGAGGUCCAAGAGCUAACCACUGAAGUUGAAAAAAUCAAGACGACAGUGAAGGAGUCAGCCACAGAGGAGAAGCUGACCCCUGUGGUGCUAGCUAAACAGCUGGCAGCCCU
RNAcentral lists this small RNA (560 nucleotides) under Pongo abelii (Sumatran orangutan). RNAcentral describes it as "retained intron". The record is from RNAcentral. Lineage: Eukaryota; Metazoa; Chordata; Mammalia; Primates; Hominidae.